Molecule: long non-coding RNA, 207 nt
Organism: Macaca mulatta (Rhesus monkey)
Lineage: Eukaryota; Metazoa; Chordata; Mammalia; Primates; Cercopithecidae
Source: Ensembl
UUGUACUGUUACUCAGAUUCGUUGAUGAAGGUCUACUAUCAGUUUUUAAGGUGCUGAGCUGUGAGGAGAGUAUCAGGGUUUAGGCUCUGCUGCCUUUCCCCGAAGAACUCACUUGGGAAGCAGUCAGAUUAGAAGAUAAUUCUGGAACAAAUGCCUGCCACUCUUUAAUUACAAAAAUGACAAAUGAUCUGUAUCACCACAUAUGCC